AGUAACACGUAGGUAACCUGCCCCGGAGCGGGGGAUAACAUUUGGAAACAGAUGCUAAUACCGCAUAACAACAAAAGCCACAUGGCUUUUGUUUGAAAGAUGGCUUUGGCUAUCACUCUGGGAUGGACCUGCGGUGCAUUAGCUAGUUGGUAAGGUAACGGCUUACCAAGGCGAUGAUGCAUAGCCGAGUUGAGAGACUGAUCGGCCACAAUGGAACUGAGACACGGUCCAUACUCCUACGGGAGGCAGCAGUAGGGAAUCUUCCACAAUGGGCGCAAGCCUGAUGGAGCAACACCGCGUGAGUGAAGAAGGGUUUCGGCUCGUAAAGCUCUGUUGUUGGAGAAGAACGUGCGUGAGAGUAACUGUUCACGCAGUGACGGUAUCCAACCAGAAAGUCACGGCUAACUACGUGCCAGCAGCCGCGGUAAUACGUAGGUGGCAAGCGUUAUCCGGAUUUAUUGGGCGUAAAGCGAGCGCAGGCGGUUGCUUAGGUCUGAUGUGAAAGCCUUCGGCUUAACCGAAGAAGUGCAUCGGAAACCGGGCGACUUGAGUGCAGAAGAGGACAGUGGAACUCCAUGUGUAGCGGUGGAAUGCGUAGAUAUAUGGAAGAACACCAGUGGCGAAGGCGGCUGUCUGGUCUGCAACUGACGCUGAGGCUCGAAAGCAUGGGUAGCGAACAGGAUUAGAUACCCUGGUAGUCCAUGCCGUAAACGAUGAGUGCUAGGUGUUGGAGGGUUUCCGCCCUUCAGUGCCGGAGCUAACGCAUUAAGCACUCCGCCUGGGGAGUACGACCGCAAGGUUGAAACUCAAAGGAAUUGACGGGGGCCCGCACAAGCGGUGGAGCAUGUGGUUUAAUUCGAAGCUACGCGAAGAACCUUACCAGGUCUUGACAUCUUGCGCUAACCUUAGAGAUAAGGCGUUCCCUUCGGGGACGCAAUGACAGGUGGUGCAUGGUCGUCGUCAGCUCGUGUCGUGAGAUGUUGGGUUAAGUCCCGCAACGAGCGCAACCCUUGUUACUAGUUGCCAGCAUUAAGUUGGGCACUCUAGUGAGACUGCCGGUGACAAACCGGAGGAAGGUGGGGACGACGUCAGAUCAUCAUGCCCCUUAUGACCUGGGCUACACACGUGCUACAAUGGACGGUACAACGAGUCGCAAGCUCGCGAGAGUAAGCUAAUCUCUUAAAGCCGUUCUCAGUUCGGACUGUAGGCUGCAACUCGCCUACACGAAGUCGGAAUCGCUAGUAAUCGCGGAUCAGCAUGCCGCGGUGAAUACGUUCCCGGGCCUUGUACACAC
Molecule: ribosomal RNA, 1294 nt
Filed under: Limosilactobacillus reuteri
Lineage: Bacteria; Bacillati; Bacillota; Bacilli; Lactobacillales; Lactobacillaceae
Description: bacterial SSU rRNA
Rfam family: Bacterial small subunit ribosomal RNA
Source: RNAcentral